GGGGAUGUAUUGUUUCGACAGGAUAGCACAUUAAAAACUGCAAGCCGAAUACGAUUCUAAAGUGCGUCAAGCUUUGAAUCAAAUUUAAGUGCAAGAAACUUAUUUGCACGAGGUCUUGCGGCUUUGAGGGAAACCUUUAGCCCAAGUCCAGCUCUAGCUUUUGCAUAAGCUUAAGCUUUGAGCUUGUCUCUUUAACCUUUUCUCGGUGAGGUUAUUUGGGGCACAAACUUAGCCGAGAGUAGGACUUUGGUUUUGAUCUAACCUUAGCCUGAAAUUUAGAUCUUUGCCUUGUUUCCGUUUGUUAAUCGACAAAGAGGUGAGGCGAGAUUUUAAAGAUUAACUAAGCUUGUAGAAGUUUUUGAUAAGUUUAUCUUGGACGCCGGGCCAUACCCGGCCAUCUCCACAG
RNAcentral lists this transfer-messenger RNA (406 nucleotides) under Patescibacteria group. RNAcentral describes it as "JACPEV01 sp016183325 Standard tmRNA". It matches the Rfam family "transfer-messenger RNA". Rfam says of the family: Bacterial tmRNA, also known as 10Sa RNA or SsrA, is named for its dual tRNA and mRNA-like properties. Its role is to liberate the mRNA from a stalled ribosome. The record is from RNAcentral. RNAcentral also lists the same sequence under 1 other name.